CCUACGGGGGGCAGCAGUGAGGAAUAUUGGUCAAUGGACGAGAGUCUGAACCAGCCAAGUAGCGUGAAGGAUGACUGCCCGAUGGGUGGUAAACUUCUUUUAUAAAGGAAUAAAACGAGGCACGUGUGCCGUUUUGCAUGUACGUUAUGAAUAAGGAUCGGCUAACUCCGUGCCAGCAGCCGCGGUAAUACGGAGGAUCCGAGCGUUAUCCGGAUUUAUUGGGGUGAAAGGGAGCGGAGAUGGGUUGUUAAGUCAGUUGUGAAAGUUUGCGGCUCAACCGUACAAUUGCCAGUGAUACGGGCAGUCUUGUGUACAGUUGAGGUCGGCGUACUUCGUGUUGUAGCUG
This 346-nucleotide ribosomal RNA is filed under the name uncultured bacterium. RNAcentral describes it as "partial 16S ribosomal RNA". It matches the Rfam family "Bacterial small subunit ribosomal RNA", at positions 338 to 681 of the family's 1533-position model. The record is from RNAcentral.